GACGAACGCUGGCGGCGUGCUUAACACAUGCAAGUCGAGCGGUAAGGCCUUUCGGGGUACACGAGCGGCGAACGGGUGAGUAACACGUGAGUAAUCUGCCCUUCACUUUGGGAUAACUACCGGAAACGGUGGCUAAUACCGAAUAUGACCUCCUUCUGCAUGGUUGGGGGUGGAAAGUUCCGGCGGUGAAGGAUGUGCUCGCGGCCUAUCAGCUUGUUGGUGAGGUAAUGGCUCACCAAGGCUUCGACGGGUAGCCGGCCUGAGAGGGUGACCGGCCACACUGGGACUGAGACACGGCCCAGACUCCUACGGGAGGCAGCAGUGGGGAAUAUUGGACAAUGGGCGAAAGCCUGAUCCAGCAACGCCGCGUGAGGGAUGAAUGCCUUCGGGUUGUAAACCUCUUUCAGUAGGGACGAAGCGCAAGUGACGGUACCUACAGAAGAAGCACCGGCCAACUACGUG
Molecule: ribosomal RNA, 462 nt
Filed under: uncultured organism
Description: bacterial SSU rRNA
Rfam family: Bacterial small subunit ribosomal RNA
Source: RNAcentral